AGGAUGUACGAAGCAGCGAAGCCGUGCCAAGGAGGGCACGUCUGAGCGGUAGCGUCAGUUACCAUAAUUUAUAUGUAAAGACUUAGAAAUAUCCAAUCAAAUCUUCUG
Eubacterium sp. CAG:252 is the source of this 108-nucleotide non-coding RNA. The record is from Rfam. Lineage: Bacteria; Bacillati; Bacillota; Clostridia; Eubacteriales; Eubacteriaceae.